ACCGACAGAUUCUUGGAGCUGUUGCCUUUUGCUGGGCAGAGUCUGGAUACAGAUUCGAAGAGGUCAAGGAGGUAUGUCAUGAAACUUCAUUCCAGGUAUUCCUCCUUGAUCCAGUCAGUGGACAGGGAGAGCUUCCAUGCCAUAGUAGAUAUGGCCAGGAAAAUGGAGGCCAGUGCCAUCGUUCAGGGGACAGUUAAGCAGUCAGUGGCACAGUCUUCCGGUUCUAAAACUUCGGGUGGG
This 240-nucleotide long non-coding RNA is filed under the name Manihot esculenta (cassava). Its description in RNAcentral is "long non-coding RNA (MESC_LNC012273)". Lineage: Eukaryota; Viridiplantae; Streptophyta; Magnoliopsida; Malpighiales; Euphorbiaceae. The record is from RNAcentral.